RNAcentral lists this signal recognition particle RNA (265 nucleotides) under Clostridiales bacterium. RNAcentral describes it as "signal recognition particle sRNA large type". It matches the Rfam family "Bacterial large signal recognition particle RNA". From Rfam's summary of the family: The signal recognition particle (SRP) is a universally conserved ribonucleoprotein involved in the co-translational targeting of proteins to membranes. Archaeal SRP consists of a 7S RNA and homologues of the eukaryotic SRP19 and SRP54 proteins. The record is from RNAcentral. Lineage: Bacteria; Bacillati; Bacillota; Clostridia; Eubacteriales.
CUGUGCUAGACGGGGAGCUGGCGGUGCCCUGUAAACCGCAAUCCGCCAUAGCGGUGUCGAUGGCUUUUUGAGGCUCCUCUUAUGGAAGGCCGCUUGCAGUAAGGGAUGUUGAUUCUAAGGUCUCGUGCAACGUUAUGCUGUGAACCGUGUCAGGGCUUGACCGCAGCAGCACUAAGCAGAAGUUAGCGUGUGCCACGAGGUAGCUUUAGAGGAGUUACCUGCUGCAAUAACGCUUCGGUAAGAGUUGUCGAGGAAAGCUGCACAG